GAAGGAGGAUGAUCAUGAUGAUGAUGUUGAUGAUGAUCACGAAGGAAUGUUAAGGUACGUAUGGUAUUAUCGUCAUCAUCAUCAUCAUCAUCAUCAUCAUCAUCA
RNAcentral lists this microRNA precursor (105 nucleotides) under Bigelowiella natans CCMP2755. Its description in RNAcentral is "miRNA EPrBNAG00000013152". Lineage: Eukaryota; Cercozoa; Chlorarachniophyceae. The record is from RNAcentral.